UUAAGUUCAGCGGGUAGUCCUACCUGAUUUGAGGCCAGAGUCAAAAAAUUGCCCAAGGGCGAUUAGAAGCUUACAGUCACACGUCUUACCAGUGAAACUUAUUACACCAGACAACAAUGUUAUGUUUGCUAACUCUUUUAAGGCGAGCCAGACAAGCUGGCAACACCCAAAUCCAAGCCAUUAAGAAACCCUAAUGGUUG
This 200-nucleotide unclassified non-coding RNA is filed under the name Cutaneotrichosporon sp. RNAcentral describes it as "partial internal transcribed spacer 2". The record is from RNAcentral. Lineage: Eukaryota; Fungi; Basidiomycota; Tremellomycetes; Trichosporonales; Trichosporonaceae.